Molecule: long non-coding RNA, 2501 nt
Filed under: Gallus gallus (chicken)
Lineage: Eukaryota; Metazoa; Chordata; Aves; Galliformes; Phasianidae
Description: lncRNA (ENSGALG00010007371.1)
Source: RNAcentral
GUGGGCAGCAGAUUGGCAAUGAGCCAGCAAUGUGCCCUUGCGGCCAAGAAGGCCAAGGAGAUCCGAACGUGCAUCACAAACAGCGUGGCCUACAGGUCGAGGGAGGUGAUCCUCCGCUCUGCUCUGCCCUUGUAAGGCCACAUCUGGAGUGCUGUGUCCAGUUCGGGGCUCCUCAGUUCAAGAAAGACAGGGGUCUCCUGGAGCCAGUCCAGUGGAGGGCCACAAAGAUGAUGAGGGGCCUGGAGCAUCUCCUGUAUGAGGAAGGCUGAGUAAUCUGAGUCUUUUGAGCCUGGAGAAGAGACAGCUGAGGGGGGUUUUCAUCACUGUUUAUAAAUAUCUAAAGUGCAGGAGCCAAGUGCGUGGGGCUGGGCUCUUUUCAGUGGCAUGCAGCAACAGGACAAAGGACAAUGGGCAGAAGUUGGAACACAAGAAGUUAUAUCUGAACGUGACAAAGAACUUCUUUACUUUUAGUGUGACAGAGCACUGGAACAGGCUGCCCAGAGAGGCUGUGGAGUCUCCUUCUCUGGAGAUAUUCAAGACCCUUCUGGAUGCUUUCCUGCUCAACCUACUGUGAGGGAACUUGCUAGCAGGGAGUUGGACUCAAGAGCUCCCUUUCAACCCCUACAGUUCUAUGAUUCCAUGUAUGCACUAGUGCAAGGUUCUCCCUGUGCUCGUGCUUCCAGCAGUGCUUUGGGACUGUAAGCUGCUGUCAGAAGGCUGUGCCUACUUUUAACUGGCCAUGCUGAGUGUGAGUCAACCUUUGGCACACUCAGGACACAAAACAUAUGAGGUUUGUGCUGAAGUACGUGUUUAGUAGGUGGCAGCCCCAUCCAGCUGGGGAUCAGCACCCCAGUCUUGGAUGAUGAGUUUAUGUCUCAGCUUCAUUUUAGGUCUGGGUUGUCUCUAGAAACGUGUCACAUUGUAAUUUCCAGUGCAAAAAUGAUCCAGGAAUUCUGUGAAAAGGGUAGAUGUGGCACUGAAGGACAAGGCUUAGUGGGCAUGGUAGUAAUGACUCAGCAGUUGGACCUGAUGAUCUUAGAGGUCGUUUCAAACCUUAAUGAUUCCAUGACUCUGUUCUAUGAUUCCAAGUGACACUGAGGUUUUUUAUUCAAGCAAUGCUACAAGUCAGUAUAGGCUCUUUUUCUUAAUCGUGCAAAUGUUCACACUGGCAGUUUGCCCAGGCAGGCUGUGUGUCCUCCAGCCCUGUGGUGUUGGCAGCUCAGCUGGACAAGACCCUGAGCAACCUGACGUAGCUUCAGCACUGGCUGCACUUUGAGCAGAGGGUCAGAUUAGAUGACCUUUAGAGAUCCCUUCAAGCCUGAUCUUUUUUCCGUGAUUCAGUGAAAUGACAACUGGUCUCACCUCUAAACAGAAAAAAAAGUAUCAAAGUAGUAGCCAUGAGUGGAUUUCUAGGGAAGUGUAAGAUCAAUGUAUAAUUCUUCAUCUCAGAAUUCUCCUACUUCUGUGUGGUUAUUUCUUUAAUACCUGGUUUACUCAGAAAAUGGAAAUAAAUAAAUCAGUUGAAAGACUGCUGAAACACAGGUCAGCCUCAAUAAGUUGUAAGAGCUUGGUUUUUUUAAUACCUGUAAGAGCAUAAGCUGCAAGCAGUUUAUAUAGAUCACUUGAAAGGGUUCCUCCUAAAGAGAAAAAAUAUUAUUUAGCAUUUAUCUCAGUCAGUAGAGAGAACUCAGCAUUUUCACUAGUUCAGCAUUUUCUAGAAACAGGCAUAGUCUCUUUUAUAGAAUCACAGGAUUGUAGAAUAUCUCGAAUUAGAAGAGAUCCACAAGGAUUGUUGUGUUCAACCCCUGGCUCCACAUUCCACUCCAAAUUCAAGCCCUAUAUCUGAGAGCAGUGUCCAAAUGCUUCUUGAAAGCUGGCAGCUCAGGGCCAUGCCCACUGCCUUGCCCUGGGCAGCCUGUUCCAUGCACCCUAUGGUGCAGAACCUGGCCCUGGCCCACACCUGCCCCUCCCCUCAUAUAGAAAUAGCUUGUCUUGUGGGAGCUGCCCUUGUUAGGCCAAAAAUUGGUCAAGAACACAGCAUCAUCAUCAGUGAGAGGGGGAUGAACAGUGCAGAUGCACAUCAAGGCCACCUGGCUGCAUGUUCUCAGUUAUCAGAAACACGUAGGCACAUCCACUGUGACAAAGUCUCCAUCUGUGCAGAUGCUGCUCUGCCAUAUCAGACACUUACCACAAAGCGAAUUGUAGCUGCAGGAAGUGGAUGUAAGCACUUGCAUUUGCAUAGAUAGAGGGCUGAACCUCACCUGUUGCUGUAGAAAUAAGCUGCUUCUGCCUGACCUGAAUCUGUGAAAAUUUGACGGUGUCUUUAUUCUGGUGACAGUCUUCAUCCUCAUUUGCAGAUGAUGUUUAUUUGGCCAGUCCAGGCUACUGAGCACAGUGACCCAAGCUUUCCUGUCCUAAUGUCAGCCCAUGUGCAGGAGGGUAUGAGAAGCAAAGAUUGUGUUCAAGGCAACCUGCAGAUACUUAUCACUAUCAGAGAUGGG